This 180-nucleotide unclassified non-coding RNA is filed under the name fungal sp. RNAcentral describes it as "partial internal transcribed spacer region". The stretch from base 1 to 46 matches the Rfam family "Eukaryotic small subunit ribosomal RNA", at positions 1786 to 1831 of the family's 1831-position model. Lineage: Eukaryota; Fungi. The record is from RNAcentral.
AAGUCGUAACAAGGUUUCCGUAGGUGAACCUGCGGAAGGAUCAUUACUGAUUUGGCGGACCGAGCGUUAGCGAGGUUCCGCGAUCACUUGUAUUUAAAACCCACACUUUGAAUGUAAUAUGUAUAUUUUUGUAUUUUUAAUAAUAAAAGAUCACUUUCAACAACGGAUCUCUUGGCUCUC